This 73-nucleotide transfer RNA is filed under the name Bos taurus (domestic cattle). It matches the Rfam family "tRNA". From Rfam's summary of the family: Transfer RNA (tRNA) molecules are approximately 80 nucleotides in length. Their secondary structure includes four short double-helical elements and three loops (D, anti-codon, and T loops). RNAcentral also lists the same sequence under 2 other names. The record is from Rfam by way of RNAcentral. Lineage: Eukaryota; Metazoa; Chordata; Mammalia; Artiodactyla; Bovidae.
UCCCUCAUGGUCUGGUGGUUAACACUCUGCCCUUCCAAUGCAGGGGGCUCAGGUUCAAACCCUGGUCAGGGAA